UGCACAAUGGGCGAAAGCCUGAUGCAGCAACGCCGCGUGAGCGAUGAAGGCCUUCGGGUUGUAAAGCUCUGUCUUCGCUGACGAAAUCUGACGGUAAGCGAGGAGGAAGCCACGGCUAACUACGUGCCAGCAGCCGCGGUAAUACGUAGGUGGCAAGCGUUGUCCGGAAUUACUGGGCGUAAAGGGUGCGUAGGCGGUCCUUUAAGUGGGAUGUGAAAUCCCUGGGCUUAACCCAGGAACUGCAUUCCAAACUGGAGGACUAGAGUGCAGGAGAGGAAAGCGGUAUUCCCAGUGUAGCGGUGAAAUGCGUAGAGAUUGGGAGGAACACCAGUAGCGAAGGCGGCUUUCUGGAAUGUAACUGACGCUGAGGCACGAAAGCGUGGGGAGCAAACAGGAUUAGAUACCCUGGUAGUCCACGCCGUAAACGAUGAGUACUAGGUGUGAGGGCGUAAGCCUUCGUGCCGUAGUUAACACAUUAAGUACUCCGCCUGGGAAGUACGAUCGCAAGAUUAAAACUCAAAGGAAUUGACGG
RNAcentral lists this ribosomal RNA (532 nucleotides) under uncultured bacterium. RNAcentral describes it as "bacterial SSU rRNA". It matches the Rfam family "Bacterial small subunit ribosomal RNA", at positions 365 to 916 of the family's 1533-position model. The record is from RNAcentral.